This 381-nucleotide unclassified non-coding RNA is filed under the name uncultured Actinomycetes bacterium. RNAcentral's name for it is "uncultured actinobacterium contains 16S-23S intergenic spacer region". The record is from RNAcentral. Lineage: Bacteria; Bacillati; Actinomycetota; Actinomycetes.
UCCGAGUUGUCCCCGGCAGUCUCCUUAGAGUCCCCGCCAUAACGCGCUGGCAACAUAGAACGAGGGUUGCGCUCGUUGCGGGACUUAACCCAACAUCUCACGACACGAGCUGACGACAACCAUGCACCACCUGUGAACCCGUUCCCUUUCGGGCACAGCCCCGUUUCCGGGGCCUCCAGGACAUGUCAAGGGUAGGUAAGGUUUUUCGCGUUGCAUCGAAUUAAUCCACAUAAUCCACCGCUUGUGCGGGUCCCCGUCAAUUCCUUUGAGUUUUAGCCUUGCGGCCGUACUCCCCAGGCGGGGCACUUAAUGCGUUAGCUUCGGCACGGAGGGAGUCGACACCCCCCACACCUAGUGCCCAUCGUUUACAGCGUGGACUAC